Molecule: ribosomal RNA, 490 nt
Filed under: uncultured bacterium
Lineage: Bacteria
Description: partial 16S ribosomal RNA
Rfam family: Bacterial small subunit ribosomal RNA
Source: RNAcentral
AUUGAACGCUGGCGGCAGGCCUAACACAUGCAAGUCGAAUGGUAACAGGAAACAGCUUGCUGUUUCGCUGACGAGUGGCGGACGGGUGAGUAAUGUCUGGGAAACUGCCUGACGGAGGGGGAUAACUACUGGAAACGGUAGCUAAUACCGCAUAACGUCGCAAGACCAAAGAGGGGGACCUUCGGGCCUCUUGCCAUCAGAUGUGCCCAGAUGGGAUUAGCUAGUAGGUGGGGUAACGGCUCACCUAGGCGACGAUCCCUAGCUGGUCUGAGAGGAUGACGAGCCACACUGGAAAUGAGACACGGUCAAGACUCCUACGGGAGGCAGCAGUGGGGAAUAUUGCACAAUGGGCGCAAGACUGAUGCAGACAUGCCGCGUGUAUGAAGAAGGACUUCGGGUUGUAAAGUAAUUUCAGCGGGGAGGAAGGGAGUAAAGUUAAUACAUGUGAUCAUUGACGUUACCCGCAGAAGAAGCACCGGCUAACUCCGUG